GACGAACGCUGGCGGCGUGCUUAACACAUGCAAGUUGAACGGUGAAGCGCCUUCCUUUUUGGUGGGUGUGGAUGAGUGGCGAACGGGUGAGUAACACGUGAGUAGCCUGCCCCCUUCUUCUGGAUAACCGCAUGAAAGUGUGGCUAAUACGGGAUAUUCUGGGUCUGUCGCAUGAUGGGUCUGGGAAAGAUAUUGUUUCGGUGGGGGAUGGGCUCGCGGCCUAUCAGCUUGUUGGUGGGGUGAUGGCCUACCAAGGCGGUGACGGGUAGCCGGCCUGAGAGGGUGGACGGUCACACUGGGACUGAGACACGGCCCAGACUCCUACGGGAGGCAGCAGUGGGGAAUAUUGCACAAUGGGCGCAAGCCUGAUGCAGCGACGCCGCGUGAGGGAUGGAGGCCUUCGGGUUGUGAACCUCUUUCGCCAGUGAAGCAGGCCUGCCUCGUUUGUGGGUGGGUUGACGGUAGCUGGAUAAGAAGCGCCGGCUAACUACGUG
Molecule: ribosomal RNA, 494 nt
Filed under: uncultured bacterium
Lineage: Bacteria
Description: partial 16S ribosomal RNA
Rfam family: Bacterial small subunit ribosomal RNA
Source: RNAcentral